Triticum aestivum (bread wheat) is the source of this 135-nucleotide non-coding RNA. NCBI's taxonomy places the organism in Eukaryota, Viridiplantae, Streptophyta, Magnoliopsida, Poales, Poaceae. The record is from Rfam.
CUACUACUCCCUCUGUCCGAAAAUACUUGUCAUCAAAAUGAAUAAAAGGGGAUGUAUGUAGAUGUAUUUUAAUUCUAAAUACAUCUUUUUUUGUCCAUUUUGAUGACAAGUAUUUUCGGACGGAGGAAGUACAUC